Molecule: ribosomal RNA, 993 nt
Filed under: Streptomyces sp.
Lineage: Bacteria; Bacillati; Actinomycetota; Actinomycetes; Kitasatosporales; Streptomycetaceae
Description: bacterial SSU rRNA
Rfam family: Bacterial small subunit ribosomal RNA
Source: RNAcentral
GCAGUCGANCGAUGAAGCCCUUCGGGGUGGAUUAGUGGCGAACGGGUGAGUNNCACGUGGGCAAUCUGCCCUUCACUCUGGGACAAGCCCUGGAAACGGGGUCUAAUACCGGAUAACACCUGCCCGGGCAUCUGGGUGGGUUAAAAGCUCCGGCGGUGAAGGAUGAGCCCGCGGCCUAUCAGCUUGUUGGUGAGGUAGUGGCUCACCAAGGCGACGACGGGUAGCCGGCCUGAGAGGGCGACCGGCCACACUGGGACUGAGACACGGCCCAGACUCNUACGGGAGGCAGCAGUGGGGAAUAUUGCACAAUGGGCGAAAGCCUGAUGCAGCGACGCCGCGUGAGGGAUGACGGCCUUCGGGUUGUAAACCUCUUUCAGCAGGGAAGAAGCGAAAGUGACGGUACCUGCAGAAGAAGCGCCGGCUAACUACGUGCCAGCAGCCGCGGUAAUACGUAGGGCGCAAGCGUUGUCCGGAAUUAUUGGGCGUAAAGAGCUCGUAGGCGGCUUGUCACGUCGGGUGUGAAAGCCCGGGGCUUAACCCCGGGUCUGCAUUCGAUACGGGCUAGCUAGAGUGUGGUAGGGGAGAUCGGAAUUCCUGGUGUAGCGGUGAAAUGCGCAGAUAUCAGGAGGAACACCGGUGGCGAAGGCGGAUCUCUGGGCCAUUACUGACGCUGAGGAGCGAAAGCGUGGGGAGCGAACAGGAUUAGAUACCCUGGUAGUCCACGCCGUAANCGGUGGGAACUAGGUGUUGGCGACAUUCCACGUCGUCGGUGCCGCAGCUAACGCAUUAAGUUCCCCGCCUGGGGAGUACGGCCGCAAGGCUAAANCUCAANGGAAUUGACGGGGGCCCGCACAAGCAGCGGAGCAUGUGGCUUAAUUCGACGCAACGCGAAGAACCUUACCAAGGCUUGACAUACACCGGAAACGGCCAGAGAUGGUCGCCCCCUUGNGNCNGGNNUACAGNNGGUGCAUGGCUGUCGUCAGCUCGGGUCGG